RNAcentral lists this ribosomal RNA (200 nucleotides) under uncultured bacterium. RNAcentral's name for it is "partial 16S ribosomal RNA". It matches the Rfam family "Bacterial small subunit ribosomal RNA", at positions 524 to 723 of the family's 1533-position model. The record is from RNAcentral.
UACGUAGGGUGCAAGCGUUAAUCGGAAUUACUGGGCGUAAAGCGAGCUCAGGCGGUUUUGUAAGUCUGAUGUGAAAUCCGCGGGCUCAACCUGGGAAUUGCAUUGGAGACUGCAAGGCUAGAAUCUGGCAGAGGUGGGUAGAAUUCCACGUGUAGCAGUGAAAUGCGUAGAGAUGUGGAGGAACACCGAUGGCGAAGGCA